This 253-nucleotide ribosomal RNA is filed under the name uncultured bacterium. Its description in RNAcentral is "partial 16S ribosomal RNA". It matches the Rfam family "Bacterial small subunit ribosomal RNA", at positions 524 to 776 of the family's 1533-position model. The record is from RNAcentral.
UACGUAGGGUGCAAGCGUUAUCCGGAUUCACUGGGUUUAAAGGGUGCGUAGGUGGGCAGGUAAGUCAGUGGUGAAAUCUCCGGGCUUAACUCGGAAACUGCCAUUGAUACUAUCUGUCUUGAAUACCGUGGAGGUCAGCGGAAUAUGUCAUGUAGCGGUGAAAUGCUUAGAUAUGACAUAGAACACCAAUUGCGAAGGCAGCUGGCUACACGAAUAUUGACACUGAUGCACGAAAGCGUGGGGAUCAAACAGG